Molecule: ribosomal RNA, 426 nt
Filed under: uncultured prokaryote
Description: bacterial SSU rRNA
Rfam family: Bacterial small subunit ribosomal RNA
Source: RNAcentral
UGGGGAAUCUUGCGCAAUGGGCGAAAGCCUGACGCAGCAACGCCGCGUGGAGGAAGACGGCUUUCGGGUUGUAAACUCCUUUCAGGAGGGACGAAGCUUCCGGGGUUAAUAGCCUACGGGGUGACGGUACCUCCAGAAGAAGCCCCGGCUAACUACGUGCCAGCAGCCGCGGUAAUACGUAGGGGGCAAGCGUUGUCCGGGAUUAUUGGGCGUAAAGCGCGUGUAGGCGGCUUGGUAAGUCUGGUGUGAAAUCUUGGGGCUCAACCCCAAGCCUGCACUGGAUACUGCCUGGCGAGAGUGCGGGAGGGGAGAGCGGAAUUCCCAGUGUAGCGGUGAAAUGCGCAGAUAUUGGGAAGAACACCGGUGGCGAAGGCGGCUCUCUGGAACGGUACUGACGCUGAGACGCGAAAGCGUGGGGAGCGAACA